This 376-nucleotide ribosomal RNA is filed under the name uncultured bacterium. RNAcentral's name for it is "bacterial SSU rRNA". It matches the Rfam family "Bacterial small subunit ribosomal RNA", at positions 521 to 896 of the family's 1533-position model. The record is from RNAcentral.
UAAUACGGAGGGUCCGAGCGUUAAUCGGAAUUACUGGGCGUAAAGCGCGCGUAGGUGGUUCAGUCAGUCAGAUGUGAAAGCCCCGGGCUCAACCUGGGAACUGCACCUGAUACUGCUGAGCUAGAGUACGGUAGAGGGUAGUGGAAUUUCCGGUGUAGCGGUGAAAUGCGUAGAGAUCGGAAGGAACACCAGUGGCGAAGGCGACUACCUGGACCGAUACUGACACUGAGGUGCGAAAGCGUGGGUAGCAAACAGGAUUAGAUACCCUGGUAGUCCACGCCGUAAACGAUGUCAACUAGCCGUUGGGGGACUUGAUCCUUUAGUGGCGAAGCUAACGCGAUAAGUUGACCGCCUGGGGAGUACGGCCGCAAGGUUA